AUGGUGGUGUGGAGGGAUAGCUAUCUGGACCUGAUCCUGGUCCCGCUGGGGCUGCUGCUGCCGGCGCUGUACCACGCCUGGCUGUGGCGGGCCGUGCGGCGCCGCCCGCUCUCCACGGCCUUCGGCGUCUACUCGGCCGCGCGCAGGCUCUGGGCGGCCGGCAUGAUGCGGGACAACGACGACAAGAAGGGGGUGCUGGUGGUGCAGUCGAUCCGGAACGUCAUCAUGGGGUCCACGCUCAUGGCCACCACGUCGGUGCUCUUCUGCACCGGCAUCGCCGCCGUGCUCAGCAGCACCUACUCCGUGAAGAAGCCGCUGAGCGACGCCGUGUUCGGCGCGCACGGGGAGUACAUGAUGGCGCUCAACUUCCUCAUCAACACCUCCUGCCUCCCGCUCCCCGACGCCGGUAAGGACGACGACGGCGCCCGCCUGGUCGGCGUGCAGCUUCCGGCCGGCGCCGUGAGCUACUACGUGGGCGAGAUCCUCGAGAGGAGCUUCACGCUCAACUUCGUCGGCAACAGGCUGUUCUACGCCGGGGUGCCCCUCCUGCUCUGGAUCUUCGGCCCGCUGCUCGCCUUCCUCUCCUCCCUCGUCAUGAUCCCGAUACUCUACAACCUCGACAUGGUGAACGUCGCCGCCGACAGAGGAGCGAAGGAGCACAGCAGCGGCUGCAUCAACGGCAAGGCGAACGGGAACGGCUUCAUGCAAGUCUGA
Molecule: ribosomal RNA, 714 nt
Filed under: Triticum aestivum (bread wheat)
Lineage: Eukaryota; Viridiplantae; Streptophyta; Magnoliopsida; Poales; Poaceae
Description: partial small subunit ribosomal RNA
Source: RNAcentral